Molecule: unclassified non-coding RNA, 277 nt
Filed under: Thelephoraceae sp.
Lineage: Eukaryota; Fungi; Basidiomycota; Agaricomycetes; Thelephorales; Thelephoraceae
Description: partial contains small subunit ribosomal RNA, internal transcribed spacer 1, and 5.8S ribosomal RNA
Rfam family: Eukaryotic small subunit ribosomal RNA (bases 1-46)
Source: RNAcentral
AAGUCGUAACAAGGUUUCCGUAGGUGAACCUGCGGAAGGAUCAUUACAGAGUUGUCGACACGAGUUGUUGCUGGUCCUCAAAUGGGGGCAUGUGCACGCUCUGUUCACACAUCCACUCACACCUGUGCACCCUCUGUAGUUCUAUGGUCUGGGGGACGCACCGUCUUCCUCCCGUGGUUCUAUGUCUUUACACAUACACCGUAGCGAAGUCUUAUGGAAUGUACUCUGCGUUUAACGCGAUAUAAUACAACUUUCAGCAACGGAUCUCUUGGCUCUC